RNAcentral lists this ribosomal RNA (487 nucleotides) under uncultured bacterium. RNAcentral's name for it is "bacterial SSU rRNA". It matches the Rfam family "Bacterial small subunit ribosomal RNA", at positions 1 to 507 of the family's 1533-position model. The record is from RNAcentral.
AGUAGUUUGACUCCGUGGCUCAGGACGAACGCUGGCGGCGUGCUUAACACAUGCAAGUCGAACGGUAAGGCCCUUCGGGGGUACACGAGUGGCGAACGGGUGAGUAACACGUGGGUGAUCUGCCCUGCACUUCGGGAUAAGCCGUGGGAAACUGGGUCUAAUACCGGAUAGGUCUCCUGGCUUCAUGGUUGGGGGUGUAAAGCUUUUGCGGUGUGGGAUGGGCCCGCGGCCUAUCAGCUUGUUGGUGGGGUAAUGGCCUACCAAGGCGACGACGGGUAGCCGGCCUGAGAGGGUGACCGGCCACACUGGGACUGAGAUACGGCCCAGACUCCUACGGGAGGCAGCAGUGGGGAAUAUUGCACAAUGGGCGCAAGCCUGAUGCAGCGACGCCGCGUGAGGGAUGACGGCCUUCGGGUUGUAAACCUCUUUCAAUAGGGACGAAGCGCAAGUGACGGUACCUAUAGAAGAAGGACCGGCCAACUACGUG